Stegodyphus dumicola is the source of this 73-nucleotide non-coding RNA. Lineage: Eukaryota; Metazoa; Arthropoda; Arachnida; Araneae; Eresidae. The record is from the annotation of a RefSeq genome assembly.
GCCUUCGUAGUGUAGUGGUCAGCACGCUCGCCACAUAUUCGAGAGGUCCAUGGUUCGAUUCCCCACGAAGGCA